This 271-nucleotide small RNA is filed under the name Arabidopsis thaliana (thale cress). RNAcentral describes it as "ATSL161910". Lineage: Eukaryota; Viridiplantae; Streptophyta; Magnoliopsida; Brassicales; Brassicaceae. The record is from RNAcentral.
AAAUUUGAGGUUUUUUUUGCACAAAAUCCUUAUGUUUUUCAACGGAGUUAUCAAGUGCCAUGUCAUCGAUAUACGGGAGGGUUGUAUUGCGGGUGACUUUAGAGAUGGUGGGGUUGACUUGCAUAAUUCGGAUUUGGAGGGUAAACUUGCAAACGAGAUCGACUUGGAGGGUUAUUUUGCAGAAAACCCUUUUCAAUUCUACCAUUUUCUAUUUGUCAUUUUCAUUUAUACCCUAUUUAAAUUUUUAAUGACCAUUUUACCACUAUUUGUA